GUAAGGAAUAUUGGACAAUGGACGCAAGUCUGAUCCAGCCAUGCCGCGUGAAGGAUUAAGGUCCUCUGGAUUGUAAACUUCCUUUAUAAGGGACGAAAAAAGGCUUUUCUAAGUCGUCUGACGGUACCUUAUGAAUAAGCACCGGCUAACUCCGUGCCAGCAGCCGCGGUAAUACGGAGGGUGCAAGCGUUAUCCGGAUUCACUGGGUUUAAAGGGUGCGUAGGCGGGCAGGUAAGUCAGUGGUGAAAUCCUAGAGCUUAACUCUAGAACUGCCAUUGAUACUAUCUGUCUUGAAUAUUGUGGAGGUAAGCGGAAUAUGUCAUGUAGCGGUGAAAUGCUUAGAUAUGACAUAGAACACCUAUUGCGAAGGCAGCUUACUACGCAUAUAUUGACGCUGAGGCACGAAAGCGUGGGGAUCAAACAGGAUUAGAUACCCUGGUAGUCC
This 445-nucleotide ribosomal RNA is filed under the name uncultured bacterium. RNAcentral's name for it is "partial 16S ribosomal RNA". It matches the Rfam family "Bacterial small subunit ribosomal RNA", at positions 354 to 796 of the family's 1533-position model. The record is from RNAcentral.